CCGAUUGCAGCUGUUGUCUGAAAACUUUGCACUCAUUGGUGCUGUGAGAAGUUGCAUUGUGCCAUUUGCAGUACUUCAUCUUCUUUAAUUCUUCAGCCGAUGGGAUUACAUGAUUGGGUGACAAUUUGAUCUGACCUUCCUGAAGUAGAAAGUCAAAUAUCCUAUCGGCUUUGGUGAUGUCAAAUGCGAACUUCUCCGGCUCUUUGUGCCCAAAAGGGCAAGACAUCGGCUUCUUAUUCUUUACCCAUUCUGCCAAGCCG
Molecule: long non-coding RNA, 260 nt
Filed under: Sorghum bicolor (sorghum)
Lineage: Eukaryota; Viridiplantae; Streptophyta; Magnoliopsida; Poales; Poaceae
Description: long non-coding RNA (SBIC_LNC014403)
Source: RNAcentral